CCUACGGGAGGCAGCAGUGAGGAAUAUUGGUCAAUGGACGCAAGUCUGAACCAGCCAUGCCGCGUGAAGGAUGAAGGCGUUUGCGUUGUAAACUUCUUUUACCAGGGAAGCGGUACCUGGGGAAUAAGCACCGGCUAACUCCGUGCCAGCAGCCGCGGUAAUACGGAGGGUGCAAGCGUUAUCCGGAUUUACUGGGUUUAAAGGGUGUGUAGGCGGGCUAUUAAGUCCGGGGUGAAAUCCCGAAGCUCAACUUCGGAACUGCCCUGGAUACUAUUAGUCUUGAAUUAUGUUGAGGUUGGCGGAAUAUAACAUGUAGCGGUGAAAUGCAUAGAUAUGUUAUAGAACACCGAUUGCGAAGGCAGCUGACUAACAAUAUUGACGCUGAGGCACGAAAGCGUGGGGAUCAAACAGGAUUAGAUACCCGAGUAGUC
RNAcentral lists this ribosomal RNA (431 nucleotides) under uncultured bacterium. Its description in RNAcentral is "partial 16S ribosomal RNA". It matches the Rfam family "Bacterial small subunit ribosomal RNA", at positions 338 to 795 of the family's 1533-position model. The record is from RNAcentral.